CCUACGGGUGGCUGCAGUGGGGAAUAUUGGACAAUGGGGGGAACCCUGAUCCAGCCAUGCCGCGUGUGUGAAGAAGGCCCUCGGGUUGUAAAGCACUUUCAGUGAGGAAGAACGCCUGGUGGUUAAUACCCAUCAGGAAAGACAUCACUCACAGAAGAAGCACCGGCUAACUCCGUGCCAGCAGCCGCGGUAAUACGGAGGGUGCGAGCGUUAAUCGGAAUUACUGGGCGUAAAGCGCGCGUAGGUGGCUUGAUAAGCCGGUUGUGAAAGCCCCGGGCUCAACCUGGGAACGGCAUCCGGAACUGUCAAGCUAGAGUGCAGGAGAGGAAGGUAGAAUUCCCGGUGUAGCGGUGAAAUGCGUAGAGAUCGGGAGGAAUACCAGUGGCGAAGGCGGCCUUCUGGACUGACGCUGACACUGAGGUGCGAAAGCGUGGGUAGCAAACAGGAUUAGAUACCCUGGUAGUC
RNAcentral lists this ribosomal RNA (465 nucleotides) under Vreelandella stevensii. Its description in RNAcentral is "partial 16S ribosomal RNA". It matches the Rfam family "Bacterial small subunit ribosomal RNA", at positions 338 to 795 of the family's 1533-position model. Lineage: Bacteria; Pseudomonadati; Pseudomonadota; Gammaproteobacteria; Oceanospirillales; Halomonadaceae. The record is from RNAcentral.